UUACUUGUAAAAAAAAAAACUUCAAAAAAACUUUCAAAAACUCUCUCAAGCCUCUCCACAUCCGGCCAUAUAUCUAGCCAGUCGCCAUCGCGCCGGCCGCCGGCGACGGCGCCGCAAUCCACGGUGGCCGAAAAAUAAAAAAAAUCCAUUUUUUUGCUUUUGACUUCCCGAGCCCAUUAAUCACCGAUUUUCAUCGGAAUCGACGGACUUCAACCGCCUAUGGCGGCGCAAAUGCAAAAAAAAAAAGGUAUGGAGGCCAGCUGUGGAUGUACGGAGAUUGACGUGGCAUGCGAUGGUGGUGUGCGUGGCUGAAGGGCAAGCCCAUGUGCGGCUAGGGUUUUCUCUCUUUGUUUUUUGCUGCUGGAAAUGGCUUAAUUUUUGGGCUGUUAGGCCACUAGGGUUUUUGUUACAUUUGGGCUGUAAUUGGGUAGUGUUUUUGGGCUUAAUAUGUAAAUGGACUAUUAAGAAAUUUUGGACUUUAUAUUUAUUUUA
Molecule: long non-coding RNA, 492 nt
Organism: Gossypium arboreum
Lineage: Eukaryota; Viridiplantae; Streptophyta; Magnoliopsida; Malvales; Malvaceae
Exons: 2
Source: RefSeq, a predicted model, not a curated record